This 264-nucleotide long non-coding RNA is filed under the name Hordeum vulgare. Its description in RNAcentral is "long non-coding RNA (HVUL_LNC005411)". Lineage: Eukaryota; Viridiplantae; Streptophyta; Magnoliopsida; Poales; Poaceae. The record is from RNAcentral.
AAUUGAGAACUUCAUUCUCAGGAGUAUCGUUUGGAGUGGUGGGUCUAGCCAUUGAUGGACUAUCUCACACACAAACGAGCAGGAAGAGAGAGUGAAACGGGCGAAAGAAAACGGCAAAGGAGAAAGGCAAAUGAAAACGGCAAAUGUGAAGUGGGGGAGAGGAAAACGAGAGGCAACUGGCAAAAAAGUAAAUGCAGGAGAUGAGUCUCUGAGACCUACUUGGAUAGAUCUCUCCUUCCCCGGCAACGGCGCCAGAAAUACUUC